GUUUAAAAUAUAAUGUAUUUCUCCUCUUUUUGAGUAAAAAAUUCUAAGUUGUCAAAGGUUUUGUAUAGUAGCACUGUACAAAUCCUUAGUAUUUCUAUUUUCUUUUCUACAACAGUUAACAUGGUAAAAUGACCCCUUCAAGGCCCUUGUCUGAGGGAGGGUUGAUCCCAACCUGAUAAUAACAAACAUAGGUCAAAGUACGGCAUUUUACACAGAGCUUUGAUCAAGACAAACCAGCAAGCUAUAAGGG
Molecule: long non-coding RNA, 250 nt
Filed under: Mytilus galloprovincialis (Mediterranean mussel)
Lineage: Eukaryota; Metazoa; Mollusca; Bivalvia; Mytilida; Mytilidae
Source: RNAcentral